CCCUUGGGUAGUCCCACGCUGUAAACGUUGGGGUACUUGGUGUAGGCGGGGUAUCGACCCCCUGCUGUGGCCGAAGCUAACGCAUUAAGUACCCCCCGCCUGGGGAUUACGGUCGCCAAGGCUGAAACUCAAAGGAAUUGACGGGGGCCCGCACAAGCGGUGGAGCAUGUGGUUUAAUUCGAUGCAACGCGAAGAACCUUACCUGGGUUUGAACUGCAGGGGACAGCUCUGGAGACAGAGUCUUCCCUUCGGGAUCCCCUGUGGAGGUGCUGCAUGGCUGUCGUCAGCUCGUGUCGUGAGAUGUUGGGUUAAGUCCCGCAACGAGCGCAACCCUUACUCUUAGUUGCCAGCGAUUCGGUCGGGAACUCUAAGGGGACUGCCGGUGAUAAACCGGAGGAAGGUGGGGAUGACGUCAAGUCCUCAUGGCCUUUAUGGCCCAGG
RNAcentral lists this ribosomal RNA (441 nucleotides) under uncultured bacterium. RNAcentral describes it as "bacterial SSU rRNA". It matches the Rfam family "Bacterial small subunit ribosomal RNA", at positions 783 to 1212 of the family's 1533-position model. The record is from RNAcentral.